ACGCCAGACUCCUACGGGAGGCAGCAGUGGGGGAUAUUGCACAAUGGGGGGAACCCUGAUGCAGCGACGCCGCGUGGGUGAAGGAGUAUUUCGGUAUGUAAAGCCCUAUCGGCAGGGAAGAAGCAAGACGGUACCUGACUAAGAAGCCCCGGCUAACUACGUGCCAGCAGCCGCGGUAAUACGUAGGGGGCGAGCGUUAUCCGGAUUCACUGGGUGUAAAGGGAGCGUAGACGGCCAUGCAAGCCAGGGGUGAAAGCCCGGGGCCCAACCCCGGGACUGCCCUUGGAACUGUGCGGCUAGAGUGCGGGAGGGGCAGGCGGAAUUCCUGGUGUAGCGGUGAAAUGCGUAGAUAUCAGGAGGAACACCAGUGGCGAAGGCGGCUUGCUGGACAGUAACUGACGUUGAGGCUCGAAAGCGUGGGGAGCAAACAGGAUUAGAUACCCUAGUA
Molecule: ribosomal RNA, 448 nt
Filed under: uncultured bacterium
Lineage: Bacteria
Description: bacterial SSU rRNA
Rfam family: Bacterial small subunit ribosomal RNA
Source: RNAcentral